GAUUUAUUGGGCGUAAAGGGCGUGUAGGCGGAAAGGAAAGUUAGAUGUUAAAUUUUGGGGCUCAACCCCAAGUCAGCAUUUAAAACUAUCUUUCUAGAGGAUAGAUGGAGAAAAGGGAAUUCCACGUGUAGCGGUGAAAUGCGUAGAUAUGUGGAAGAACACCAGUGGCGAAGGCGCUUUUCUAAUUUAUACCUGACGCUAAGGCGCGAAAGCAAGGGGAGCAAACAGGAUU
This 232-nucleotide ribosomal RNA is filed under the name Chlamydia pneumoniae. RNAcentral's name for it is "partial 16S ribosomal RNA". It matches the Rfam family "Bacterial small subunit ribosomal RNA", at positions 548 to 779 of the family's 1533-position model. The record is from RNAcentral. Lineage: Bacteria; Pseudomonadati; Chlamydiota; Chlamydiia; Chlamydiales; Chlamydiaceae.